UGAGACUUUGGCACAGUAGGGAAUUUCUGCUGCAAGGAUUCCACCACUUUGUUGAUAUUAUGUGGGCAAGACUGAAUAGCAGAAACAAUUAUAGGCAUAUCUGAUCCUUUUAUGGUUAUUGCAGUUGAGGUAUGUGUUCUAGUGGCCUUGCCACUUGAACCACACACAUCUUGAUCUUCAGAUUGUAUGUUUGCCAUUGAUA
Molecule: unclassified non-coding RNA, 202 nt
Filed under: Hevea brasiliensis (rubber tree)
Lineage: Eukaryota; Viridiplantae; Streptophyta; Magnoliopsida; Malpighiales; Euphorbiaceae
Source: RNAcentral